This 201-nucleotide ribosomal RNA is filed under the name Vibrio parahaemolyticus. RNAcentral describes it as "partial 23S ribosomal RNA". It matches the Rfam family "Bacterial large subunit ribosomal RNA", at positions 517 to 721 of the family's 2925-position model. Lineage: Bacteria; Pseudomonadati; Pseudomonadota; Gammaproteobacteria; Vibrionales; Vibrionaceae. The record is from RNAcentral.
AAAAGAACCCCUGUGAGGGGAGUGAAAUAGAACCUGAAACCGUGUACGUACAAGCAGUAGGAGCACCUUCGUGGUGUGACUGCGUACCUUUUGUAUAAUGGGUCAGCGACUUAUAUUCAGUGGCAAGGUUAACCAUCUAGGGGAGCCGUAGGGAAACCGAGUCUUAACUGGGCGUUCAGUCUCUGGAUAUAGACCCGAAAC